RNAcentral lists this ribosomal RNA (702 nucleotides) under Salmonella enterica. RNAcentral describes it as "partial 23S ribosomal RNA". It matches the Rfam family "Bacterial large subunit ribosomal RNA", at positions 711 to 1325 of the family's 2925-position model. The record is from RNAcentral. RNAcentral also lists the same sequence under 1 other name. Lineage: Bacteria; Pseudomonadati; Pseudomonadota; Gammaproteobacteria; Enterobacterales; Enterobacteriaceae.
AGACCCGAAACCCGGUGAUCUAGCCAUGGGCAGGUUGAAGGUUGGGUAACACUAACUGGAGGACCGAACCGACUAAUGUUGAAAAAUUAGCGGAUGACCUGUGGCUGGGGGUGAAAGGCCAAUCAAACCGGGAGAUAGCUGGUUCUCCCCGAAAGCUAUUUAGGUAGCGCCUCGUGAAUUCAUCUCCGGGGGUAGAGCACUGUUUCGGCUAGGGGGCCAUCCCGGCUUACCAACCCGAUGCAAACUGCGAAUACCGGAGAAUGUUAUCACGGGAGACACACGGCGGGUGCUAACGUCCGUCGUGAAGAGGGAAACAACCCAGACCGCCAGCUAAGGUCCCAAAGUCAUGGUUAAGUGGGAAACGAUGUGGGAAGGCCCAGACAGCCAGGAUGUUGGCUUAGAAGCAGCCAUCAUUUAAAGAAAGCGUAAUAGCUCACUGGUCGAGUCGGCCUGCGCGGAAGAUGUAACGGGGCUAAACCAUGCACCGAAGCUGCGGCAGCGAACGUAUCACCCAAGACAACUUUACGGAGUUGACGAUUGACGGAGCGAAGCGACGUCAAAGCGUUCAUUAAAGUCGAGUUGGCUUAGGGAUACGUUCGUUGGGUAGGGGAGCGUUCUGUAAGCCUGUGAAGGUGUGUCGUGAGGCAUGCUGGAGGUAUCAGAAGUGCGAAUGCUGACAUAAGUAACGAUAAAGCGGGUGAA